RNAcentral lists this ribosomal RNA (250 nucleotides) under uncultured bacterium. Its description in RNAcentral is "partial 16S ribosomal RNA". It matches the Rfam family "Bacterial small subunit ribosomal RNA", at positions 84 to 334 of the family's 1533-position model. The record is from RNAcentral.
UUUGAUGGCGACCGGCGCACGGGUGAGUAACACGUAUCCAACCUGCCGAUGACUCGGGGAUAGCCUUUACGAAAGAAAGAUUAAUACCCGAUGGCAUAGUUCUUCCGCAUGGUAGAACUAUUAAAGAAUUUCGGUCAUCGAUGGGGAUGCGUUCCAUUAGGUUGUUGGCGGGGUAACGGCCCACCAAGCCUUCGAUGGAUAGGGGUUCUGAGAGGAAGGUCCCCCACAUUGGAACUGAGACACGGUCCAA